Megalobrama amblycephala (Wuchang bream) is the source of this 700-nucleotide long non-coding RNA. RefSeq lists it as uncharacterized. The transcript has 3 exons. NCBI's taxonomy places the organism in Eukaryota, Metazoa, Chordata, Actinopteri, Cypriniformes, Xenocyprididae. The record is from RefSeq and is a predicted model, not a curated record.
GUUGACGUGCACUUUCCGCGAGUGGGUUUGACUCACUAAACAAAUGAUGGCGUCAAUCGGAAAACUAAUUGAAAAAUUCUUGAAGUGAUUGACAGUUCUGACAUGGCCAAUCAACUGCUCAGCAGCAAGGUCACUUGUCAGGCGCAGACUCUGAUUGGCUGCAGCACUCAUCGUUUCAGUGAAGCUGGAUUAAAGAGACGGACAAAAACAAGUUUAAUCCUGUUCUUGCGGCCUGUUGUCUGACAACAGAAAGGAUCAAUGAGCCGCAGGAUGUGUUUGGGUUGGUCGUGGCACACAGCAGGUUAUGUUGGACUCAUGAUCAGAUGUAUUUGGGCUGAGGCUUGUACGAGGUCAGGAGAGUAAGUCGAGCCACUGCAGGGGGUAGCAUCUGUGCACAUAUGUCUCCUGAACCCCCCGGCAUCCACUACAAUUAUUAUCAAAACCAGUUAGUCAAGGACGAUGACCACCUAGAUUAGACAACCCACUAGGAUAUGCCCACUUCACUACCAGUAGCUGCUGAACAUUGUUGUGACCUACCAACCGAUGACUGUUCAUAUGACAUCCCAACAUACCACCAGAGCAGUCAAACACAGUGAGCUGCAUGUGUAUGGAACUGUAUAAGAGACUUUUUCAUGGGAGAGCACAAUGGAGACCAACAGGAAACCAACUGAGAGUUACGGGAAAUAGGAAAUGAUGUAAA